GAUGAACGCUGGCGGCGUGCUUAACACAUGCAAGUCGAACGGAAAGGCGCGGUGCUUGCUCCACUCGCGUUGCCCGCGGGCGUGUGAGUCACAUGAGCAUACCCUAUCUAUGAGACUAAGAUCACUACCGGAUGCUGGAUCUCACACCGGACAUUAUAUUGAACCGGUGGGUUCGAAAGUUAUAGUUGGUUUUGCUGUGACUUAUAGGUCUAUCCGCGUCGCAUUAGCUAGUUGGUACGGUAACGCCUUACCGAGGCGACGAUGCGUAGCAGGCCUGAGAGGGUGAUCAGCCACACUGGAACUGAGACACGGACCAGACUCCUACGGGAGGCAGCAGUAGGGAAUGUUGCACAAUGGGGGAAAGCCUGACGAAGCAACGCCGCGUGAGGGAUGAAGGCCUUCGGAUCGUAAAACGCUUUUGUUAGGGAAGAAAAAAUGUGUAAUGAACUAGCGGCGUGGUGACGGUACCUGAAGAAGAAGCACCGGCUAACUACGUG
RNAcentral lists this ribosomal RNA (497 nucleotides) under uncultured bacterium. RNAcentral's name for it is "partial 16S ribosomal RNA". It matches the Rfam family "Bacterial small subunit ribosomal RNA", at positions 28 to 507 of the family's 1533-position model. The record is from RNAcentral.